CUCAUAUAACACACCAACAAUUACACUUCUCGUCAGGUUAUCGUUGGGGUCCAUUGUAUAAUGUUGUUGACGAAGAAGUAGAAAACAGUCAUUUAAAUUCCUCGCUGCGUCUCCAGGAAAUUUAACCGAAGCUGUGUACAGAUUUAACUGCAAUAU
Molecule: long non-coding RNA, 156 nt
Organism: Dendronephthya gigantea
Lineage: Eukaryota; Metazoa; Cnidaria; Anthozoa; Malacalcyonacea; Nephtheidae
Exons: 3
Source: RefSeq, a predicted model, not a curated record